CUGACCGGAGAGGAUUAUCUUGUAGUGAAGAAGUCUAGUGGGGAGUCAAUCUCAGGAGGAUGGAGCAGGACCCAGAGCCCCACCAUGGUGCCUCCCCCUCCUUCUCCCAUACCAGAGAGGAACAAAGAACAGAAGAUCCUGGAACUGACCACCAUGAUGGUCCAUCUACUGACAGGAGAGGUUCCUAUAAGGUGUCAGGAUGUCACUGUCUAUUUCUCCA
Long non-coding RNA from Rana temporaria (common frog), 220 nucleotides. RefSeq lists it as uncharacterized. The transcript has 3 exons. The record is from RefSeq and is a predicted model, not a curated record. Lineage: Eukaryota; Metazoa; Chordata; Amphibia; Anura; Ranidae.